Molecule: ribosomal RNA, 761 nt
Filed under: uncultured Prevotella sp.
Lineage: Bacteria; Pseudomonadati; Bacteroidota; Bacteroidia; Bacteroidales; Prevotellaceae
Description: bacterial SSU rRNA
Rfam family: Bacterial small subunit ribosomal RNA
Source: RNAcentral
GAUGAACGCUGGCUACAGGCUUAACACAUGCAAGUCGAGGGGAAACGACGGGGAAGCUUGCUUCCCCGGGCGUCGACCGGCGCACGGGUGAGUAACGCGUAUCCAACCUGCCUCUGACUGAGGGAUAACCCGUCGAAAGUCGGCCUAAUACCCCAUGGUAUCGUCUGCGGGCAUCCAACGACGAUUAAAGAUUUCAUCGGUCAGGGAUGGGGAUGCGUCUGAUUAGCUUGUUGGCGGGGUAACGGCCCACCAAGGCUACGAUCAGUAGGGGUUCUGAGAGGAAGGUCCCCCACAUUGGAACUGAGACACGGUCCAAACUCCUACGGGAGGCAGCAGUGAGGAAUAUUGGUCAAUGGGCGAGAGCCUGAACCAGCCAAGUAGCGUGCAGGAAGACGGCCCUAUGGGUUGUAAACUGCUUUUAUGCGGGGAUAAAGUGAGGGACGUGUCCCUCAUUGCAGGUACCGCAUGAAUAAGGACCGGCUAAUUCCGUGCCAGCAGCCGCGGUAAUACGGAAGGUCCUGGCGUUAUCCGGAUUUAUUGGGUUUAAAGGGAGCGUAGGCCGUGGAUUAAGCGUGUUGUGAAAUGCAGGUGCUCAACGUCUGCACUGCAGCGCGAACUGGUCCACUUGAGUGUGCGCAACGCAGGCGGAAUUCGUCGUGUAGCGGUGAAAUGCUUAGAUAUGACGAAGAACUCCGAUUGCGAAGGCAGCUUGCGGGAGCACAACUGACGCUGAAGCUCGAAAGUGCGGGUAUCGAACAGGG